RNAcentral lists this long non-coding RNA (440 nucleotides) under Cyanoderma ruficeps (rufous-capped babbler). RNAcentral's name for it is "lncRNA (ENSCRFG00000010417.1)". Lineage: Eukaryota; Metazoa; Chordata; Aves; Passeriformes; Timaliidae. The record is from RNAcentral.
CGUUGCCGGGGCGGCCAUGGCGGAGGCGAACGUGGAGGACGCGGCCCGGCCGUGGCCGCCGCCCGCGGGCGCCUAUGCGGAGGAACGGGGGCUCUUCCAGCUCCUGCAGUUGCUGCGGCUCACACGUGUCAUUUGAUUUGCGGAUGAAAGUGGCAGCUCGUGGAAGAAAGGAGUCGCUGACAGGCGGGCAGGUGGAAGGGGAGACAGUGACGAAUCGAGUGCGGGAAGAACGCAGUGAAGGUUUUGCGGUGGCUGAGCCGGGGCUGUCACCGCCUCCUGUUCAUCCCCCGGUUAAAACCCUUUCCCCCCGCAUUCCUCUUGUGGCUGUUCGGGCAAGUGUCAAAAAUAAAGGGAGAGAAGUUCACUCGUGGCGUCGUUGUGAUUUCGGUGCCUGGCAAGGCUGGUGUCCCUGCUUUAGGGAAGGUCCAAAUCCUCCCUGA